RNAcentral lists this ribosomal RNA (1130 nucleotides) under marine metagenome. RNAcentral's name for it is "bacterial SSU rRNA". It matches the Rfam family "Bacterial small subunit ribosomal RNA", at positions 358 to 1520 of the family's 1533-position model. The record is from RNAcentral.
GGAAUCUUGCGCAAUGGGCGAAAGCCUGACGCAGCGACACCGCGUGGAGGAUGAAUGUCUUAGGAUUGUAAACUCCUUUUAUCAAGGAAGAGAACGGACGGUACUUGAUGAAUAAGGUUCGGCUAACUACGUGCCAGCAGCCGCGGUAAUACGUAGGAACCGAGCGUUGUCCGAAUUUACUGGGCGUAAAGAGCGCGUAGGCGGUUUAUUAAGUCUCAUGUGUAAUCUCCCGGCUCAACUGGGAGGGGUCAUGGGAUACUGGUAGACUUGAAGAUAGCAGAGGAAAGCGGAAUUCCCGGAGUAGUGGUGAAAUGCGUAGAUACCGGGAGGAACACCAGAAGCGAAGGCGGCUUUCUGGGCUAUUCUUGACGCUGAGGCGCGAAAGCGUGGGGAGCGAACCGGAUUAGAUACCCGGGUAGUCCACGCCCUAAACGAUGGAUACUAGAUGUUGGAGGUAUAGACCCCUUCAGUGUCGAAGUUAACGCGAUAAGUAUCCCGCCUGGGGAGUACGGCCGCAAGGCUAAAACUCAAAGGAAUUGACGGGGACCCGCACAAGCAGCGGAGCGUGUGGUUUAAUUCGAUGCAAAGCGAAAAACCUUACCUAGGCUUGACAUGUUUCUGAAAGCCCCCGAAACGGGGCCCUCCUUCGGGACAGAAUCACAGAUGUUGCAUGGCUGUCGUCAGCUCGUGUCGUGAGAUGUUGGGUUAAGUCCCGCAACGAGCGCAACCCCUGUCGUUAGUUACUAUGUCUAACGAGACUGCCCCCAUUGGGGAGAGGAAGGUGGGGACGAGGUCAAGUCGUCAUGGCUCUUACGCCUAGGGCUACACACACGCUACAAUGGUCGGAAACAAUGGGCUGCAACAGCGCGAGCUGAAGCGAAUCCCCAAAGCCGAUCUCAGUUGGAAUUGUAGGCUGCAACUCGCCUACAUGAACGUGGAGUUGCUAGUAACCGUAGGUCAGCACACUACGGUGAAUACGUUCUCGGGUCUUGUACACACCGCCCGUCAAGUCAUGGAAGUCGGUAACGCUUGAAGUCGUUGGGCCAACCCUUUGGGAGGCAGACGCCGAGAGUGGGACUGGUGACUGGGACUAAGUCGUAACAAGGUAGCUGUAGCGGAAGCUGCGGCUG